GACUCCUACUUAAUUUCAAAGUUCCACAAUUUUUUCUUACAAGGACAAAAGUGGGCAUUCAUCUCUAAUCCUUUCUCAUGCCAAUACUCUGGUUCUAAACCCCACAUCACAGAUGGGAAAGUGGAGGCUCAGCUUGUGGUGGUGGUGUCCUGUGAGCUGUCUCCUUCCAGCAGCGCCCCCACCAGGGUUUGCCUCCUGCUUCUCCCCUUCCCUCAGCUCAUCCCAGCACCAUAAAAAUGAAGCAUCCUCUGUCCUUUCUGGACACCAGAGACACCUUUUGAGGAGAAGUGGGUUUUCUGGCUUUUUCUCUGUCCCUGGCCCAGAAGCAGGACACUUAUCCAUAUUGACUUGAGUAUCUAAUAAGUAGCACGUAAGUCAGAACCAACCUAAUUAACAAGGGCACUUGUGUUAAUAAGCACCUUUCAAUCCAUGCAGGGAGCUAACACACUCAGAAUACAAAGGGAAGAAAAGACAUUAUCUUGAAAUGCCUGGGCUCCCACCUAGGCUGAGCCUCAUGAAGUCAUUAUGGGUAAUUAUGGGCUAUUACAUGCUAUCACCUUGGCAAGACAACUACCCUCAAUUGCCUAGAGUCACAGGUCCCUCAAGUCCGGGAAGUGACUUUAGAGAUUAGGACCUAAAGGCUUGGUGGCUUCCCUCUCACUGUCUCCUGGAUCUCUCAUUCUGGUGGGAGUUAGGCGCCAUGUCAUGAGGACAUUCAAGGAGCCCUCUGGGGAGUUCCCAUUGUGAGGAGCUGAGGCUUCCUGACAACAACCAACACCAACUCGCCAGGAGAGGAGAAGAGCAGAAGACAAGGGAAGCAGAUCAGGUUUGUAGGUAUUAUCUCCAAUGUACCUGUGAAGAAACUAAGGCCUGGAAGAGUUCAGCGAUUUGCCUACAGUAACACAGCAAGUAAGUUACGAGACCAGGUUUUCCAACUUCAAAGCCUGUACUCUUUAUAUUCCCUGUCAGCGGAAGAUAAAAGUUUUGCGGGGCCUGAAGUAUGCACAUCUAAGGUGGCUGUAUUAGUUUUCUAUCACUGCUAUAACAAAUUACCACAAACUUUGUAGCUUUAGACAACACAAAUUUCUCUUACAGCUCUGUAGUUAAAAGGUCCAGACAGGACUCACUGGGCUAAAUAAAACUCAAGCGUCAAGAGGGCUGUGUUCCCUUCUGGAGGCUCUGGGAAAAAAUCAGUUUCCUUGUCUUUUCCAGCUUUAGAGACCAUCUGCAUUCCUUGAGUUGUGGCUUCUUCCUCCAUCUUCAAAACCAGCAACAACAGAUAAGUCCUUCUUAGAUUGCUUCACUCUGACCUCCUCUCUGUCACCUUCUUCCAUUUUAAGGACUCUUGAUUAUACUCGGUUCACCCAGACAAUCCAGGAUAAUCUCCCUAUUUUAAGGCCAGCUGAUUAGCAACAUUAAUUCUAUCUGUCACCUUAAUUAUCCUUUGUCAUAUUACAUAACAUAUUCACAGGUUUCAAGGAUUAAAACAUGGACAUCUUUGGGAGGGGGUGCUUAUAGUGUCCACCACAGCGGCCCUCUUCAAGAAAAGAAUAAAAAGUUAAAAUUAUAAAAUUAGAUACGAUC
This 1584-nucleotide long non-coding RNA is filed under the name Homo sapiens (human). RNAcentral describes it as "HSALNT0294723". The record is from RNAcentral. Lineage: Eukaryota; Metazoa; Chordata; Mammalia; Primates; Hominidae.